UCACAAAUUCCCUGGAGGCCUUGUUAAAAUGCCAACUCUGAAUCCAUGGAUCUGAGUGAGGCCUGGGAUUCUGCAUUUCUAUCAAACUCCCAGGUGAUGCUGGU
This 104-nucleotide microRNA precursor is filed under the name Marmota monax (woodchuck). Lineage: Eukaryota; Metazoa; Chordata; Mammalia; Rodentia; Sciuridae. The record is from RNAcentral.